Molecule: ribosomal RNA, 448 nt
Filed under: uncultured bacterium
Lineage: Bacteria
Description: bacterial SSU rRNA
Rfam family: Bacterial small subunit ribosomal RNA
Source: RNAcentral
UUCCAGACUCCUACGGGAGGCAGCAGUGGGGGAUAUUGCACAAUGGGGGAAACCCUGAUGCAGCGACGCCGCGUGAGUGAAGAAGUAUUUCGGUACGUAAAGCUCUAUCAGCAGGGAAGAAAAUGACGGUACCUGACUAAGAAGCCCCGGCUAACUACGUGCCAGCAGCCGCGGUAAUACGUAGGGGGCAAGCGUUAUCCGGAUUUACUGGGUGUAAAGGGAGCGCAGGCGGCGCGGUAAGUCUGAUGUGAAAGCCCGGGGCUCAACCCCGGGACUGCAUUGGAAACUGUCGUGCUGGAGUGUCGGAGGGGCAAGUGGAAUUCCUAGUGUAGCGGUGAAAUGCGUAGAUAUUAGGAGGAACACCAGUGGCGAAGGCGGCUUGCUGGACGACAACUGACGCUGAGGCUCGAAAGCGUGGGGAGCAAACAGGAUUAGAUACCCCUGUAUG